CCUACGGGUGGCAGCAGUGGGGAAUCUUGCGCAAUGGGCGAAAGCCUGACGCAGCAAUGCCGCGUGAGGGAAGAAGGUCUUAGGAUUGUAAACCUCUUUCAGCAGGGACGCGGUACCUGCAGAAGAAGCCCCGGCUAACUACGUGCCAGCAGCCGCGGUAAUACGUAGGGGGCGAGCGUUGUCCGGAAUCAUUGGGCGUAAAGAGCGUGUAGGUGGACUGGAAGGUCUGGUGUGAAAGCCCGGGGCUCAACCCCGGAGGGUCACUGGAAACCAACAGUCUUGAGUCCGGAAGAGGAGAGUGGAAUUCCUAGUGUAGCGGUGGAAUGCGCAGAUAUUAGGAGGAACACCAAUGGCGAAGGCAGCUCUCUGGUACGUACUGACACUGAGACGCGAAAGCGUGGGGAGCGAACAGGAUUAGAUACCCUGGUAGUC
Molecule: ribosomal RNA, 432 nt
Filed under: uncultured bacterium
Lineage: Bacteria
Description: partial 16S ribosomal RNA
Rfam family: Bacterial small subunit ribosomal RNA
Source: RNAcentral